This 451-nucleotide long non-coding RNA is filed under the name Rattus norvegicus (Norway rat). RNAcentral describes it as "long non-coding RNA NONRATT024837". The record is from RNAcentral. Lineage: Eukaryota; Metazoa; Chordata; Mammalia; Rodentia; Muridae.
CUUCACAGGACACGCAACACCUGUUUCAUCGCUUAGGUUCACGACCAUCAGACCUAACGAGAGCCAGCCUUUUGAUGGGGUUACAGGCCUUUACUUUCUGUCUGGAGCUGUACAUGACCGAUUACUUAAUGUCUGGUAUGUAGCUGUUUUGGGUGGGGUUCAACUUUGCUUUUUAAGAAUCUGUCACCGCUUAUGGGGUCAGUAUAGAUAAGUUGGUUUAUUGUAUUGAUUGUCAGACUUACAUUGACAGAAUAAGUUUGAGUUAGAAUGUACCUUAUUAAGAAUUUAAGAGUGCUUUUUUAUGUAAUUUUAACAUUUUUGAAAUAUAAUUUUCACAAGAACAUAUUUAUAAGUUAAAGUGUCUGUACAUUUACUGCAUAUAAGUUAAUUUUUUUCUGGACUAAAAAUAAGAUUUAGUAGGAAAUAAAUUCAAAUACUCCUCUUAAGAAAA